Cebus imitator (Panamanian white-faced capuchin) is the source of this 2527-nucleotide long non-coding RNA. RefSeq lists it as uncharacterized. NCBI's taxonomy places the organism in Eukaryota, Metazoa, Chordata, Mammalia, Primates, Cebidae. The record is from RefSeq and is a predicted model, not a curated record. The transcript has 3 exons.
ACAGUUUCCUUCUGCCUCCAGAGUUAAUUUUUCCUUUUGGUCUCCUCUUUAUUUCUUGUCUUCCUCCAUUCUCCCUUUUCUUUCCUUUCCGCCCUCCCAAGCUGUCAACAACAGCUCCCCUAGACUCUGCCUAGCACAGAAUUUUGCUGACUUUUGAGAAAUUCAAGAGGCAAACCUGCAGGGCAAAGAAACUCUACAUGGUGAAUUGGUACCUGAACUUCUUUCAUCCGAGGGAAACUGGGCCAUAGGACUUGUCAGUGAAGCUCAGCAUGCUAUAAGAGCAUCUUGGUUUGUCCUAGCUGAGGACUGGAGCAUCUCAAUCUCUAGUCCACAAACUAAUGUUCCUACCCAGGGAAGGGCAGCUUUGGAAGAGGCACAGUGCUCUGCCACAGCCCGCAGGACCGAGCAUCAGCCUGGAAAGAGGGCUGACCCCACACCCGCCCACCCACGCACCCACUCACUCAUUCAUUCAUUCAGUGCUCAAAAUAUCGCCUUGUGCCUUCUAUGUGUCAGGCAAGGCUGAGACCUGACUCCCACUCAUGGCUGCUAGGUGGUGAAACUCAGCUCCUUCGCACCCUAGAAUGGUCAGGAAGAGCCCCAGGCAGCCCCGGCGAGAAGGAGCAGGAUGAAGGAGCUGCUUCUUCAUAAUGACAUUGUCCAAGAAUGACCAUGCUCUUCACCGACGCUCCAUCAGCCCAGCAUUGUGCAGCUGAGUGGAUGUUAUUAUUCCAGCUUGUGAAGGGACAUGGUGAGUGCCGGAGUCAGUGAAUCAUCCAGAGAUGUGAGAGGUGGAGUGGGUGGGCAGUGAAGCCUCCAAGCUAGAGACGUCCUUUGUCCUCACAGGCAUCUUUGGCUGUAGUACUGGGUUUGCAGGUACAUGGAGGUGACACAUGCCACCUCUGAGCCAUAAAGCCUUACGACACUGGGCACUUGCUCCUCUAUCUGCUCCUCUCUCUUCCUGUGGGCUGGGCUGGAUGGGCAGUGGGACCCAGCCUUUAUCAUGCUUGUGAGGCCAACACUGGGGAUGCCAGGACCUGAGAGGGAGAACCCGGGUCCCCAAAGAGUGUGUGAAGUGGAACCUGCUGCCAGUCUAGACUGCUUAGCUCUCCUGUGUGUGAGGCAAACACACUUCUGUCUUAUUUAAGCCACUGACCCCUUGGUCCAGUUACAGCAACUUUGCCUUUGGCUUACUAAUUUAGAGGGGUAAAAGAGCAGCCCUCUUUUCCUUUCCUGAGUUUAGAACCAAUUAAGAGAAGGUGAGUAGACCCCGAGAGAUGCGGAGCAAAAUACUACGUGUGUUACUGGUCAUACUGCGCUGGAAAACGCAGCAUUGAAGCGGUGCCAUGCAGGCUUGCUGACAGCUCUCUGUGGAGUUAGAUAUACCUGCCUAGUCCCUGGUGUACCCGACAGCUGCUGGUACCAGAGGCAUAUGGUGGGACAGAAAUGAUGCCUCCAGGAGAGAGAGAAGAAGUUGAGCCAAGAAGCCUUGUUUUUCCCUCUGAAACUCACCAAUUGGGUAGGUCUUUUCUCCUCUUCUGGGCAGAGUAGGAGAGGCAGGCGGGAUGUGGGGGAGGCUGCCACAGUCGAAGGCCUCUCCCAGAAUGUGAAGAAUGGUAGGUCCCGCUCACAAGGCAAAUGCCCCACAGUGGGCACUGGUCGUGUUGCUACCAAGACCCUGCGCAGGGGUGAGACCACUGAGCAUUCUCUAAUCUUGGGUGCAUCAGCUGGAGGGUUUCAAACAGGGGUCUGGGACGAGUCAUCAUCAAACGGUUUCAUGAAAAUCACCUCCAUUCCUCCAUUUCUGAUGACUUGUCUGUGGACACGCUGGUGUUUGUGGGGCAGACAGAAGGACGUUGGGGUGUGCAGUGGGUGUGCAUGUUUCCGUGGAGGGAUGAGUCGGGAGCAGGUCUUCCCAUUUCUUAGAUCAAUGAGUUUUUGAGACAUGUGAAUCUCCACAUGUUUUGUUUUUCAUUUCAGGAGCCCAGACAUAUUUAAUACUUUUGGUACUGGGGCUAUUGAUAAAGAAGAACAUCUUUCUAGGGCUAAUGAAGAACAAACCCACAGGCCCUGCACUUGUUCAGGCCUCAGCAUCUCUAAACCAGAGACUGUGCAGUGCUGGAACUGGCUUUGCUCUCUCUGCUGUCUACCCUCUGUAACACAGUGGUAGCAGAGUGUCCCUCUAAGACCCAGGUCUGCUGUCAUUCACCUUCUCCAAAACCUCUAAGGGCUUCCCAUGUCCUAAAACAUGCAGUACGAAUCCCUUGUGUGGCAUUAUAAGCCUGCUCUGAUCUGGCCUCAAUGGACAUUUCCAGCAGUAAUUCCUCUUGGCCCACUUUAAGUUUUCCUUCCUCCAUCCCUCCCUCCUUCCCUUCCCUUUUUCCCUCCCUUUCUUCUUUACUUUUGCAUUGGGAAAGGUCUCAGCAUCUUGGAUUAUGUAAUAGUCUCCUAAGGGGUCUCCCUGCUUCUACUUUGACACCCUACUCUCUAUUCUCAGCAACCAGACCAAUCCUGUUUAAAACCCAAGCCA